AUUGAACGCUGGCGGCAGGCCUAACACAUGCAAGUCGAGCGGAUGAAGGGAGCUUGCGCCUGGAUUCAGCGGCGGACGGGUGAGUAAUGCCUAGGAAUCUGCCUGGUAGUGGGGGAUAACGUCCGGAAACGGGCGCUAAUACCGCAUACGUCCUGAGGGAGAAAGUGGGGGAUCUUCGGACCUCACGCUAUCAGAUGAGCCUAGGUCGGAUUAGCUAGUUGGUGGGGUAAAGGCCUACUAAGGCGACGAUCCGUAACUGGUCUGAGAGGAUGAUCAGUCACACUGGAACUGAGACACGGUCCAGGCUCCUACGGGAGGGCGCAGUGGGGAAUGUUGGACAAUGGGCGAAAGCCUGGUCCAGCCAUGCCGCGUGUGUGACGAAGGUCUUCGGAUUGUAAAGCACUUUAAGUUGGGGGGAAGGGCAGUAAGUUAAUACCUUGCUGUUUUGACGUUACCAACAGAAUAAGCACCGGCUAACUUCGUG
RNAcentral lists this ribosomal RNA (484 nucleotides) under uncultured bacterium. RNAcentral describes it as "partial 16S ribosomal RNA". It matches the Rfam family "Bacterial small subunit ribosomal RNA", at positions 30 to 507 of the family's 1533-position model. The record is from RNAcentral.